GAGUUUGAUCCUGGCUCAGGAUGAACGCUGGCGGCGUGCCUAACACAUGCAAGUCGAACGAAGCAAUCGGGAUGAAGUUUUCGGAUGGAUUCCUGGUUGACUGGGUGGCGGACGGGUGAGUAACGCGUGGAUAACCUGCCUCACACUGGGGGAUAACAGUUAGAAAUGGCUGCUAAUACCGCAUAAGCGCACAGUACCGCAUGGGUACGGUGUGAAAAAACCCCAGGUGGUGUGAGAUGGAUCCGCGUCUGAUUAGCCAGUUGGCGGGGUAACGGCCCGACCAAAGACGACGAUCAGUAGCCGACCUGAGAGGGUGACCGGCC
Molecule: ribosomal RNA, 323 nt
Filed under: uncultured microorganism
Description: bacterial SSU rRNA
Rfam family: Bacterial small subunit ribosomal RNA
Source: RNAcentral